Molecule: ribosomal RNA, 404 nt
Filed under: uncultured bacterium
Lineage: Bacteria
Description: bacterial SSU rRNA
Rfam family: Bacterial small subunit ribosomal RNA
Source: RNAcentral
UGGGGAAUAUUGCACAAUGGGGGAAACCCUGAUGCAGCGACGCCGCGUGAGCGAUGAAGCCCUUCGGGGUGUAAAGCUCUUUCGGCAGGGACGAUUAUGACGGUACCUGCAGAAGCAGCUGCGGCUAACUACGUGCCAGCAGCCGCGGUAAUACGUAGGCAGCAAGCGUUGUUCGGAAUUACUGGGCGUAAAGGGUGCGUAGGCGGCUUUUUAAGUUUGUCGUGAAAUCUCCCGGCUCAACCGGGAGGGUGCGGCGAAUACUGAGAAGCUAGAGUGUGGGAGAGGAAAGUGGAAUUCCUGGUGUAGCGGUGAAAUGCGUAGAUAUCAGGAGGAACACCGGUGGUGUAAACGGCUUUCUGGACCAUAACUGACGCUGAGGCACGAAAGCGUGGGUAGCAAACAGG